This 405-nucleotide ribosomal RNA is filed under the name uncultured rumen bacterium. Its description in RNAcentral is "bacterial SSU rRNA". It matches the Rfam family "Bacterial small subunit ribosomal RNA", at positions 354 to 776 of the family's 1533-position model. The record is from RNAcentral.
GUGGGGAAUAUUGCACAAUGGGGGAAACCCUGAUGCAGCGACGCCGCGUGAGUGAAGAAGUAUUUCGGUAUGUAAAGCUCUAUCAGCAGGAAAGAAAAUGACGGUACCUGACUAAGAAGCCCCGGCUAACUACGUGCCAGCAGCCGCGGUAAUACGUAGGGGGCAAGCGUUAUCCGGAUUUACUGGGUGUAAAGGGAGCGUAGACGGGCGUGCAAGUCUGAAGUGAAAGCCCGGGGCUCAACCCCGGAACUGCUUUGGAAACUGUAUGUCUAGAGUGCAGGAGAGGUAAGUGGAAUUCCUAGUGUAGCGGUGAAAUGCGUAGAUAUUAGGAGGAACACCAGUGGCGAAGGCGGCUUACUGGACUGUAACUGACGUUGAGGCUCGAAGGCGUGGGGAGCAAACAGG